Molecule: ribosomal RNA, 250 nt
Filed under: uncultured prokaryote
Description: partial 16S ribosomal RNA
Rfam family: Bacterial small subunit ribosomal RNA
Source: RNAcentral
UACGUAGGGGGCAAGCGUUGUCCGGAUUGACUGGGCGUAAAGGGUGCGUAGGCGGUUUGGUAAGUCAAAUGUGAAAGCCUGUAGCUCAACUACAGAACUGCAUUUGAUACUGCUAGACUCGAGUUCGGGAGAGGCAAGUGGAAUUCCUAGUGUAGCGGUGGAAUGCGUAGAUAUUAGGAGGAACACCAGUGGCGAAGGCGGCUUGCUGGAACGAUACUGACGCUGAGGCACGAAAGCGUGGGGAGCAAAC